Syngnathoides biaculeatus (alligator pipefish) is the source of this 2643-nucleotide long non-coding RNA. RefSeq lists it as uncharacterized. Lineage: Eukaryota; Metazoa; Chordata; Actinopteri; Syngnathiformes; Syngnathidae. The transcript has 3 exons. The record is from RefSeq and is a predicted model, not a curated record.
UUCGGGCUAUUUUUUUUUCUGCUUUUCGGACAAUUUUUUUUCCCGAGUUAUCGGGGCACAUCGAACUCACGCGAGAACCUGUGAACGACAAGUGACUCCUGGCGGAGUACUUCCGCCUUCAACCGACGCGUUUAGCUCAGGGGUCCAAUUCAGCCAAGCUACACAAUUAUUGACACUUUAUGGUACUCCAUCUACUGUAGUUUGGUUGUGGACUGCAUACAAGUAAGUAGUAGACGAACUCCAACGUCCCAUCGGUAUGUAUGUAACAGUUACUAUGUUUCACUGAUGCUUUUCAUAACUCAUCCAUGACUUGACAACGUGCGUUUCAUCAUAACAUGUAUACAAUGGCACUACACUUCCAUAAGGAGAACGAGACAUUCGUUGUAACAUUAGUUUACAAGCACACAAACACAAAAGGCGUGUUAGUUUAACAUGGGCCAGGUAAGCUUGUAAAUAAAACGGGACGUUGCCAGCAGACUAAAUACUAUUAACAACAAAAUUUAUAAAAGCCCACAUUGAGGUUUCGUUUUCUGCACUAUUAGAGUCAGUAAUGUUAUUGUGUACGAAUAAGCAGUCAAGACUUUCAUCACACAAGAACACAGCAAAACCUUUAGUGGUGAAGAGUAUUUUACUUUUAUUGCACUUUCAUUAUUUGCUUAAAUAUGACCUUAUACAUUUAAUCAACAGAUAAAGUGUUGCCCAUUUGCUAACCAGACAAGGAUGUGUUGUGGAGCAGGUGGUUUUCCUUGAUCUUUGUACGCAGAAAACGGCUGGUGCCAUCCUCCUCUCUCAGGCGUUGCCGUGGAGACAAACGACACCUGAUAAGGAGCGGAAAGUUACCAUCCCGGCCCAGGACCAGACUGACGGUGGGGGGGGGGGGGGGCAGCAGCCACCUUUACCAUGGACCCAUACAUAUAAAAACCUCGUGUUACUGGGCAGCUUUUGUCUUCUUCUUUGGCUAUCCUGCCAGAAGACACACGUCCCGUGUGCGGCAGAUACCUAGAUAAGACCCGGGCGUCUGUACUGCACAUUCCUUUGUAAUAAAUCAGGGAUGAGAAUGACCAAUUUGGAAAAACACUAAAAAUGUCUGUCGAUGGGGAGGUUGAGCUCGUAUCGGAACACAGAGUGCACAGCACUUUGCCGGGAAUGUCCACUUUUUGUUUGUGUUCUGUUAGACAUGUUGAUACCGUUUUUGCUCCUAUCUGCACGGUUACACUUUUUCCAAGCCAUGCCCGUGUGAAAGUUUUUGAUUCCAGCAUCCUUGUCAAUUUCCCUCGCUCGAUCGUCAUCCUUUUUUUCCCAACACUUUCGCCAUCGUAAAACUAUGAACACACCGUCGCUCAGUUUGUGCUAUCAGUUGGCUAACAAGUUACACUGCGAUUUCUGAGAACCGAGAACACAUGUACAUGGCAAUGGUGAAACUCGAUUAACCACUAACACGAUUGGCUCGUUAUACUGUAUAACUCUGUUGUCCGAUCGAGUAAUCUGCCGCAAUAUGCAAAUAUUUACACUACCGUGCAAGUUAGAACGGCAUAAGAUAGUCGUGCUUGUGCUAGCAUUAAGCUGAACUUGCAACUCGGAGCCCACCACCGAGAGGCAGGCGCACGAUACCCUACCCCCCUGAAAUUUUCUCAACGGAUUUGCGCUUAUCUCGAAAAUGGUCAUUUUGGUCUGAAAAAGUCGGAAAUUCGCCGAUCGGCGGAAGAUUCUCAAACCUGAUAAAUCCAUUUGCUGUUAACGUUUUCUAAUCAUUAGUCAUAUCUUCCUCAACUCGUGAACACGCGUCGGGUCCUAACUCGCAAAUCCCUACAGUGGUGAUUUAUGUGAGCAUGUAGCGCCGUAGAAAAGGAGUCUGAGGUGGAGUGUCGAACACAGGAACAAACCUCGUUUAAAUGGCAGACAUCAACAGACUAAACGCAUUACGGCGGGAAGUCUCCACUAACUCUGACACCGGAAGUGUAACCAACCAAAACAGUCCGUGUGGAACCCCCCAACCCAACUUGUGGUCCCGCAGCAUUGUAAUGGCUACAUCCUCAAUCCCUUGCCUGUGCCAAGUGGGAAUUUCCAAGCAACAGAGGUGUCCAUGAGGAAAGUAGAAAAUGAAGCAAGGUCAUAUUGACACCUCGAUUAUUGGAGAAAUGGAUGAUGCUGCUUUGGCCUUUUCCAUUCCAGCCUGUGGUGACAGGAUUGCUGCAAGGUGUUUCUCAAUGGAAAAACAAAGAGGUUUGUUCUCUAUUCAGUUAGUGAUAAUUGUUUGAACUGUGAAUGUGGGCCAUGGGAGAUUUUCUUGGUGUAGGUGCUGUAUGAGUAGUCGAAGAAACAAUAACUCACACAAGCACAGGGUGAUUGUGAAAAUUUUUGUCUACCCUAUCAACAGUUAACAAUUCAAUUUGGGAUGGGAAUGUUUGUGUUAUAAACACCAUUGUGUUUUUACUCUUAAAUUUGAAUGGAAUUUGAAUCUCUACCUAAUAAGACAGUGUUUGUGAGUCUGGUACAAGGUCGUUUUUUUGUUUUGUUUCCCAAACACAUUGUGUGUCCUGUAGUUAAAGGGUCGUGCUCUGUGAGACGAUGUUUCCAGCUGCGUUGCAUGUGUGCUUGCAUUGACAAGAGUUACAGGUAUCUUUGUGCAAACUCCAAUAAAGA